Molecule: ribosomal RNA, 301 nt
Filed under: uncultured bacterium
Lineage: Bacteria
Description: partial 16S ribosomal RNA
Rfam family: Bacterial small subunit ribosomal RNA
Source: RNAcentral
CAGUCGCCGCGGUAAUACGUAGGGUGCAAGCGUUAAUCGGAAUUACUGGGCGUAAAGCGUGCGCAGGCGGUUAUAUAAGACAGAUGUGAAAUCCCCGGGCUCAACCUGGGAACUGCAUUUGUGACUGUAUAGCUAGAGUACGGCAGAGGGGGAUGGAAUUCCGCGUGUAGCAGUGAAAUGCGUAGAUAUGCGGAGGAACACCGAUGGCGAAGGCAAUCCCCUGGGCCUGUACUGACGCUCAUGCACGAAAGCGUGGGGAGCAAACAGGAUUAGAGACCCGUGUAGUCCCUGUCUCUUAUAC